AGAAAAGAGAAAAAAAAAAGAAAGAAGAAAGAAUCAGAAACAGAGCGUGAGACUGAGAAAGAACAAAAAAGCGUUGUUACAUUGAUCCAUACUGGAGCAGGAGCUCAACUAAAUGAAAGACUGUAUAGAGGAACUAAAGGAGGCACAGAAAAGAGACGGAGAGGAGAAACAACAUGAAGCAAAUCCGAGCUGAUUGAGAGCGGAGCAGCAGGGGAGGACGGAGAAACAGAAGAAGCUGCUGGAGUGGAGGUGCUUGUGUCUGGUGUCAUAGUAACUCCAUUCAGUUCCUGACCCAGGCCUCUACUUAAGAGCCCCUCAACUAUUCCCCCAUCAGAUGCAGCAUAUGCACAGCGGACCUUGCGAUGUCCAGUUUGUACCCUGCCUCUCAUCCACUGUGAGCUGGGAUAGGCUCCGCCCCCCAGGACAUCCAACAGGACAACGUAGGUCCUGCCUGUUACCUCUGGUCACCAGUCUGCCUGCCCUGCCUUGUUCCCCAUCAGGCUACCUCAGUCCUCUGCAAAGCCAGCCAUGCCGCUACAGCCAGCCACAUCUUUCCUGAGCCAGACAUCUUGCUGAGUUUCUCUUCCCGACAACCAGCAGGCCUCUCCUCUUGCCACGACUCUCCCUCGACUGCCACUCACCACAGGAAAACUACAAGCCUUAUUCACCUUCACCUUGCCUUCAGUUAUAAAUAAAACAACUCUCUA
This is a long non-coding RNA of Stegastes partitus (bicolor damselfish), 707 nucleotides long. RefSeq lists it as uncharacterized. The record is from RefSeq and is a predicted model, not a curated record. Lineage: Eukaryota; Metazoa; Chordata; Actinopteri; Pomacentridae. The transcript is spliced from 3 exons.